UCCAGACUCCUACGGGAGGCAGCAGUGGGGAAUAUUGCACAAUGGGGGAAACCCUGAUGCAGCGACGCCGCGUGAGCGAAGAAGUAUUUCGGUAUGUAAAGCUCUCUCAGCAGGGAAGAAAAAAUGACGGUACCUGACUAAGAAGCACCGGCUAAAUACGUGCCAGCAGCCGCGGUAAUACGUAUGGUGCAAGCGUUAUCCGGAUUUACUGGGUGUAAAGGGGGCGCAGGCGGUACGGCAAGUCUGAUGUGAAAGCCCGGGGCUCAACCCCGGUACUGCAUUGGAAACUGUCGGACUAGAGUGUCGGAGGGGUAAGUGGAAUUCCUAGUGUAGCGGUGAAAUGCGUAGAUAUACGGAGGAACACCAGUGGCGAAGGCGGAUUGCUGGACAGUAACUGACGCUGAGGCGCGAAAGCGUGGGGAGCAAACAGGAUUAGAUACCCUGGUAU
RNAcentral lists this ribosomal RNA (448 nucleotides) under uncultured bacterium. Its description in RNAcentral is "bacterial SSU rRNA". It matches the Rfam family "Bacterial small subunit ribosomal RNA", at positions 330 to 793 of the family's 1533-position model. The record is from RNAcentral.